This 2207-nucleotide long non-coding RNA is filed under the name Podarcis lilfordi (Lilford's wall lizard). Lineage: Eukaryota; Metazoa; Chordata; Lepidosauria; Squamata; Lacertidae. The record is from RNAcentral.
CUGGAGCGCAAAGGUUCCAGUUGUCACUGUCUCCCUUGUCCCUGAGCAUAUGGGGCACCUUCUAUCUAAAAGGUCAGUGCCCUACAGAGCCCUGACACUGUGCCUCAGCCGUCUGAGUUAAAUGGCAGAGUCACUUCACCUAGAGGAAAUUGGCCAGUUACUAUCUGCCACGUGGCAUUACGGUCAAGGGUCUGAGGGUCGGGGUUUGGCGGUGGUAGGGAGCAGCUGCUUUGCAUGCAGAAGGCCCGAGCCUGAUGGAGCCCAGGGACUGAUUUGGUGAAAAACAUCUUCCUACCUUCUUCUCAGGGGACGCGGGUGGCGCUGUGGGUUAAACUACAGAGCCUAGGACUUGCCGAUCAGAAGGUCAGCAGUUCGAAUCCCCGCGACGGGGUGAGCUCCCGUUGCUCGGUCCCUGCUCCUGCCAACCUAGCAGUUCGAAAGCACGUCAAAGUGCAAGUAGAUAAAUAGGUACCACUCUGGCAGGAAGGUAAACAGCGUUUCCGUGCGCUGCUCUGGUUUGCCAGAAGCGGCUUAGUUAUGCUGGCCACAUGACCCGGAAGCUGUCUGCAGACAAACGCCGGCUCCCUCGGCCUAUAGAGUGAGAUGAGAGCGCAACCCCAGAGUCGGUCACAACUGGACCUAAUGGUCAGGCGUCCCUUUACCUUUUUACCUUCUCAAAUCAAAACCAUGAGGACUAGACUCUUACUUUUGCAGGAAGAUGUCGAGAGAGCACCUGCCCUGAACGCAGAAGGGGCCAGGUUCAAUCGCCAGCGGCUUCUCCCGGUAGGGCAGGGAAGGUCUCCUGCCCAAAAGCCUGGAGAGCCUCUGCUGCCAGUCAGUGCUGGUAAUGCUAGAUGCUAGAUGGAACAAUUGGUCCCGGACACAUUGUUGAUGUCAGCCAACAGCUUCCUGCAUUCCUACACAACGCAGAACUGAAACCCGGACUCUGGCAAAGUGGCAUCUGGUCCACAAAAGCUUAUGGAUGCUCAAAUGUGUUUGCUUUUUUCUUUUAAGGCGUCUGUUGUACCACAAGGCUCUUUCUCGGUUUGGCUCUCCGGAGGCCUGGAAGGCAGCGAAGAUGACCAAAGAAGAACGCAAUGUGGAGGCCAGCCAAAAACAGAGGCUGUGGGAGACUUCUCAAAGCUGUUUGUCGGCCUCGACAAUGUGUCCAGGACGGAUGUCAGCCCCUUCUGCACCUCUGUGACGAGCAUCAGUCUUCAAAAUAAAUAUCUGAAGGGAGCGUAAGGAGGAUUAAGGUGGCUAGCACUGCGCUCCGACACAGAUGCUUUUAUUUAUUACCAGGUUUAACUGCUUUCGCAGUUGGGGUUGCAAAUAUCGACAUUUGCAAACCACCCAAAAUACUUAGCUACAUGGGUGGUAAACAGACAAACGUGCUCCUUCGAGGGACCAAACUGUGGAACUCCCUGCUGCAGGAAAUCACCAAAUUAGAUGGCUUUAAAAAAGGGGAUCAAAUUUGGAGAGUGUAAGGCAAUCAGUGGCUGCUUAGCUUGAGAGGGAUUUACUCUGCCCAAGUAAGCAUGCACCACUUAAGCGUUUUUAAAUUCCACUGAUUUCAGUGUUUAUUCCUAAAGAAAUCUUUCCAUUUCUUUGAAGGCUUCCAGACUGGUGUCUAUUUAUGAGGUGGGGGGCUUCCCAUUCGUGAAAGUGUGUUUGUAGCAAUCACGUGCCGCCUUGCUUGCAUCGAAACUCUAGCCUCCCCACCCCCCCCUUUGCAUUUAAUCUGGGUUUUACCCUUUCUGGGAGCAAUCCAGUAAUCCCUUUCUGGAAGGUCAAUGCUACCCUCAUGAUCAGAGGCAGCCUUGCUGUGAAUAUUAGUUGUGAGUUAGCAAUAGCAGGAGAGGGCAGUUCGACACCUCGCCCUUCUUGUGGGCUUCAUAAGAACGUAAGGACUCCCUUCAGCUGGUUCAGGCCAAAGGGGUGUGGGAAAUUGCAGUUAAACAUAAUUUGCAAGCAUAGAGCUAGUUAAGGCACGAAAGGGUUAAGACCACAGAGCUGCAUUGCUAGAGACACACCCCCUCGCCUCCAUUGAGGGAGGAAGUGAAUCUUCUUUCCUUAUUCUUCUUUGUGCCAUGUAACAUACCAGGAAGGACAUGUCUGAUCUUGAAACUAACUUUCUAUAUAUUGUAUCCAAGAGUAUUCUACCUGUGUUCUCCUUGCUGCCACGUGGAAUGAUGCAUGAACCAGAC